RNAcentral lists this unclassified non-coding RNA (213 nucleotides) under plant metagenome. RNAcentral describes it as "partial contains small subunit ribosomal RNA, internal transcribed spacer 1, and 5.8S ribosomal RNA". The record is from RNAcentral.
UCUCCGUAGGUGAACCUGCGGAGGGAUCACUACAGGCUUGCAAAAGCUCUGAAACCACUGUUUAUCUACCUGAAUCUGCUUCGGCGGGCGGCCCCAGGGCGGGGCCGUAGCCGCAAGGCGCCCGCCGAAGACCCCUAAACUCUGUCGCCUUGAGAAUCUCUGAGUAUCAUAUUAAACAGAAAACAACUUUCAACAACGGAUCUCUUGGCUCUG